CCAGAGCCAGAAGCACCUGUCACAUGAUGCAUCUCAAAAUUCAUCAGUGUUUCUCUCCAUAUGUCUCAGUUUUGAGGUGGCCAGGAGACAUCAUCUGCUCCUGCCUACUCUCUUGGGACUGCAUGAACUUCAGCAACACAAAUAUAGCAACAGAGAAGAAACUCCCUUUAGCAACACUUAGGCUACUGGUGUAACAUCAAGCGAGGACUGUUUUCAUACACUGGUGAUGACAUCUCCUAUGCUCCUCCAAAGAAGCAACAACAACAACAAAAGGAGGCACCCCAGAGGCUGAAGUGAGCAUGGGUGCUGCAAGCAACAGGAAACUCUGAGCAGAUAUUCACAUCAUGGAGCUUGUUUGUGCAGUGGCAGCUACUUAUCCUCAUGAGCGUCACCUUAAAAAGCAGCCUGCCCAACCAGGCUGAAAAAGAGACAACAUUAACUCCCUAACUAUACUGGUUUGUUUAAUGCCCUUGUUGGUGAGGCCCAGAGAGAACAGGCAGUGCUGACCCCAUAGUAUCCAGCAGAAGACAUAUCUAUGGACAGGUAGGUCAGCAGUCCUUGCUGGGUGGCCCCUUCUCAUGCUGUGAAAUGGGCCAUACUGGGAUAUGCACAGCAGGUGGGGGUACCUGCAGACUAACACUCUCCUUCUUGGGGACCCCCACAACAUCUUGGGAGCUGGUGGCCAUGAACAAAGAGCACACGGGAACCAUCCUUGGGGUCUAGUCAUUGAGUUUCCAUUCCUGGGAAAGUUCCCUGUUUUGUCAUUGUAACCUGGGUGUCACUGAUUGCAGGGCUGCAGAAGUCCUCAAAAGAGAGGAAGCUCUUCUAUGAAACAUCUCUAUGAACCAGACUUUGAACUUCCCUAAUACUGGAGUUAUUCCUGUCUGAGGAUUUACUCUGGGCCCCUCUCAAUAUUGACUUUUUCUUGCUUCUGGACUGUCUAGGGCAAUAUAGAUUUUUCAACUUAAAAGCACCUAUUUUUAGAUACCAAAGGAGACCAUUAUGAUCUA
Molecule: long non-coding RNA, 1010 nt
Filed under: Coturnix japonica (Japanese quail)
Lineage: Eukaryota; Metazoa; Chordata; Aves; Galliformes; Phasianidae
Description: lncRNA (ENSCJPG00005019868.1)
Source: RNAcentral